GAAGUUCGCCAGGCAAUCGCUGCGCACGAGUUGCGCGGAGGAAAGUCCGGGCCCCGCAGAGCAGGAUGCCGGCUAACGGCCGGGCGCCGCGAGGUGACGGAAAGUGCAACAGAAAACAUACCGCCGAUGGCCUGCGCAAUGCGGGAUCAGGCAAGGGUGAAAUGGCGGGGUAAAAGCCCACCGCGGGACUGGCGACAGUUUCGGCACGGCAAACCCCAUCCGGGGCAAGGCCAAAUAGGGGGGCAUGGCGUGGCUCGCGCCGCCUCCGGGUAGGCCGCUGGAGCGCCACGGCAACGUGGCGCCAAGAUGAAUGAUUGCCCGAUGUCCUUCGGGACAUUCGACAGAACCCGGCUUAUCGGCGAACUUCCCGC
RNAcentral lists this RNase P RNA (371 nucleotides) under Azoarcus sp. RNAcentral describes it as "RNase P RNA component class A". It matches the Rfam family "Bacterial RNase P class A". From Rfam's summary of the family: Ribonuclease P (RNase P) is a ubiquitous endoribonuclease, found in archaea, bacteria and eukarya as well as chloroplasts and mitochondria. Its best characterised activity is the generation of mature 5'-ends of tRNAs by cleaving the 5'-leader elements of precursor-tRNAs. The record is from RNAcentral. Lineage: Bacteria; Pseudomonadati; Pseudomonadota; Betaproteobacteria; Rhodocyclales; Zoogloeaceae.